Molecule: ribosomal RNA, 442 nt
Filed under: uncultured bacterium
Lineage: Bacteria
Description: partial 16S ribosomal RNA
Rfam family: Bacterial small subunit ribosomal RNA
Source: RNAcentral
CCUACGGGAGACAGCAGUGGGGAAUACUGGGCAAUGGGCGCAAGCCUGACCCAGCAACGCCGCGUGAAGGAAGAAGGCUCUCGGGUUGUAAACUUCUUUUGUCAGGGAAGAGUAGAAGACGGUACCUGACGAAUAAGCCACGGCUAACUACGUGCCAGCAGCCGCGGUAAUACGUAGGUGGCAAGCGUUGUCCGGAUUUACUGGGUGUAAAGGGCGUGUAGCCGGGUUGACAAGUCAGAUGUGAAAUCCUGCGGCUUAACCGCAGAACUGCAUUUGAAACUGUUGAUCUUGAGUACUGGAGAGGCAGAAAGAAUGCCUAGUGUAGCGGUGAGAUGCGUAGAAAUUAGGAGGAACGCCAGUGGCGAAGGCGGUCUGCUGGACAGCAACUGACGGUGAGGCGCGAAGGCGUGGGGAGCAAACAGGAUUAGAUACCCGAGUAGUC